UCGUCGCUGCUUUCCAGGCAGCUUGUUCGUUACUUCUCCUGGAAAGGGACGUGACUGCUGUGGAGUGUAGCUGUAGCAGCGUUACACUCCUGAUGCCAAGUUCUUUUUUUCCCCAGCGAAUGUCCUCGCGGUAUAUGCUUCAGGCCCUCCCAACAAUCUUCUCUGCACAAGAACGUUUCGGGAUGUCGACGACACACGAGGCGCGCGGAUUCGACGAACUUUCACUGCGGGGAACGCUGUUCCUACUUCAUCCAGACACUUGAGAGUUUUAACCGAAGUCAACAACAGGCCGCCUCGACCAUUGUCAACGAGUUCCAGAUCCAGCGUACCCAGCAACGUUUCGACCAAUACCUCUCUUUCCUCUCGUCUCGUUCGCAAGCGAACUUCUUUUUAUUUCUUUUUUUUUACGCGAGAAAGAUUAAGGUGCGAAUCCAGAUGAGAAUCAUGGCCAUUUUGGUACAGAAGCUAGAGCUUUCUAUCUACCCUCCAUUUUAUUAAUUCCAACUAUAAUAGCAAAUUUUCUCUCUGACAGAUUAUAGAUCUGCUAUGUGGUCCCUUCAGGGGAGUCAUUGCUGAUGUCAAAGGAAGGGCAGCCUGGUACAGACAUGAUUGGGUUGCAGGACUCCGUUCUGGCUUCAGGAUAUUGGCACCUACCAUGUAUAUCUUCUUUGCCUCUGCACUUCCUGUGAUUGCCUUUGGAGAGCAACUGAGCACGGCAACAAAUGGUAGACUCACAACAGUUGAAAUAUUGGCAUCUACGGCGAUAUGUGGCAUCAUACAUUCAAUUCUUGGAGGGCAGCCUUUGUUGAUUGUUGGAGUUGCCGAACCAACUAUUAUCAUGUACACUUAUCUCUACAACUUUGCCAAGAAGCAGCAAGGCCUGAGAGAGCAGCUAUAUUUGGCGUGGACCGGAUGGUAAUGACUGAAAUAGAAUAAAUCCGAACCUGUGUAAGCUUCAGAUAAACUGAACUCGAUAAUUACUGUCUGUAGGGUCUGCAUCUGGACUGCCAUUAUGCUGUUUCUUUUGGUAA
This is a long non-coding RNA of Panicum hallii, 1031 nucleotides long. RefSeq lists it as uncharacterized. Lineage: Eukaryota; Viridiplantae; Streptophyta; Magnoliopsida; Poales; Poaceae. The transcript is spliced from 3 exons. The record is from RefSeq and is a predicted model, not a curated record.